CUCACGUUUGCCGAAUACCCACCCCCACGUGACCCGAACUCCAGUCCAUCCCGCUCCUCGUCUCUCUCGGUGGCCAGAUCCGGGCACGCGGGCUGCUGCGGCGUUGGGAUUCCAACGCGCGGGUGGCGGCGGCAGCUGGAUCUGGGCGCGCGGACGGCGGCAGCGACUGGAUCCGUGCAUGCGAGGGUCGCUGCUUCCUCAAGCCGCCGUAUGUCGAGGUGUACGCCCUAUGCCGCCCCUAUGCACCGCUCAGGCCCUUGCUCGUUGCGGCGUGGCGACGCUCCGAGGAGGACAUCUUCCCUGCCGUGGGGUCGACGACGUCGUUUCAUCCGCAUUUUCGUGUUCAGCAUCAGGUGUUCGCGGCCGCCGACGAAGAGGUCCCUGCCAACGCCGACCAUCAUACCACCACCAUGCCUUCGCUUCGUCGAGGUCAGGAAGCUGUGCCCACGCUGAGGUCACCGACGAGGAGGUUGAGAUCCUGAAGAGCUCCUCCGCAAGCAUCAUUGAGUUAAUUACGUUCCUACACAAGCAUCGUUGUUCUCUGCUAUGACUACUAAUCUAGGUAUAUCCACAUAGCCACCAAUCAUCUGAAGCCUCUAUUGAGAUGUUGAUUGAUUCAAAAUGUGUUCUCAAUUUUCUCUAUUUGAUUUGAUUUGUGUUAAAUAAAUGGUGCUAGUUAAUACCGAGCUGGAAUCAAAUUUUGAUGCUAUAUGAAAUACUAGGAUUAUUUGAUUUGAUCUGUGUUAAAUAAAUGGUGGCGAGAUUGUUGGGUUUGCGAGCUCACCAACGAGAAGGUCCUCUACUGCAUCCUGGCCUAAGGCGUCCGCGAGUGCUCGCGAGCUCACUGACAGGGAGGUCCUCCACUGCAUCUCCACCAUCAAGGUCACCGUGCCCUUACUGCUAUUACUACUAAGCUGUCUAAUUAUAGCGUGGCGGGCUGCCCCUUCCCCCUCCCGAGCGUCGCCCCCGACACUCCCCCUGCUCCUCUCCUCCCUCAAUUCCGUGUUGCGCAACGCCCAGCUCCUAAUUCAUUUUGGUAUCUUGUCCAUCCAGUUUAAUCCCUUUAAUAUUAUGUUGCACUUUUCCUGUUGCAGGGUCUCACUGAGCUACGCAACUUAGGUUUUCCCCCGCUGCAGGUCAUCACUAAGGUCCAGAAUGGAGGAAAGGGUUAUGGUAUGACUGAAAACUGCUGGAUACUAUCCCUGGAGUACCUGCAAAAGGGCCAUGCCUGUUUGUUCAAGUGGAGUACUUGUCUUAGGAGUUGAUGCAAAGACAAUGAAGCAUCUACCUCCGAACAACUAGGAGAAAUCUGUGUUCGAGGACCAAACAUAAUGGAAGAUGAUAUUUGAUUAUUUUUCUGUGUCAUUGAUUGUGUUUGGUUACAAAUAUAACUGUGUAUAUAUGCUUGGAAUAUUUAAAU
Long non-coding RNA from Sorghum bicolor (sorghum), 1420 nucleotides. RefSeq lists it as uncharacterized. Lineage: Eukaryota; Viridiplantae; Streptophyta; Magnoliopsida; Poales; Poaceae. The record is from RefSeq and is a predicted model, not a curated record. The transcript has 4 exons.